UUUAAUUGGUUUAUACUACUUUUCUAAUGUGUUAAUCAUUUAUGAACUAUAAUUUAUAAAAUUAUUGAAUAAAGUUUUAUUCUUGCUUUCCUAUUUAUUAUCUGGUUAGUUUACAUGAAAAUUUUUGUGGGAAUUUUUAUUAUUCUUAAUGAUUAAUAGGAAGUUCUCAGUAUUUGGUAUUAGUAAAUCAAAGUCAUUUGGAUCUAGUAAUUCAGUAUGUGAUUGGCUAAAAUCGUGCCAGCCGCCGCGGUUAGACUUAGAAUUUAAAUAAAUAUUUUUGGUUUAGAAGUUAAUUGAAUCUUUAAAAUGCUUAAUUUUUUUAUAAAGGCGGAAAUUUGAGAAGAAACUGCAUUUAAUAAAAGUGUAAUGAAGCUUUGAAAUUUAAAAUUUAAACUAGGAUUUGAUACCCGAUUAUUUUUAAUAUAAAAGGUGAAUACAGGAGUAGUAAGAGUUAAGUUCUUGAAACUCAAAGAAUUUGGCAGUGUUUUAGUCUUUUCAGAGGAACCUGUCCUAUAAUGGAUAAUACACAUUAAAUUUAACUUGAUUUUGUAAUAGCCAGUUUAUAUACCGCCGUCAUAAGAUUAUCUUUUUAGAGAAAGAAUUUUCUGGAUUUCUGGAAGUAAAAUUCAUGAAUAAUGAAUGGAGGAUUAUAUGUCAGGUCAAGGUGCAGCUCAUAAUUAAGUAAGAGAUGGAUUACAAUAAAUUGAUUUAUAUGGAUAAUAUGUUGGAAUACAUAUUUGAAGGUGGAUUUGAAAGUAAUAUGGUUAUAUUAUGAUAAUAUGAUUAUAGCUCUAAAACAUGUACACAUCGCCCGUCGCUCUCAUUAUAAGGUGAGAUAAGUCGUAACAAAGUAGGUGUAAUGGAAAGUGUAUCUAGAUUGAA
This 882-nucleotide non-coding RNA is filed under the name Ruspolia dubia. RNAcentral's name for it is "small subunit ribosomal RNA". The stretch from base 439 to 875 matches the Rfam family "Microsporidia small subunit ribosomal RNA", at positions 751 to 1303 of the family's 1311-position model. Lineage: Eukaryota; Metazoa; Arthropoda; Insecta; Orthoptera; Tettigoniidae. The record is from RNAcentral.